AUUGAACGCUGGCGGCAUGCCUUACACAUGCAAGUCGAACGGCAGCGCGGGGCAACCUGGCGGCGAGUGGCGAACGGGUGAGUAAUAUAUCGGAACAUACCCUAGAGUGGGGGAUAACGUAGCGAAAGUUACGCUAAUACCGCAUACGCACUAAGGUGGAAAGUGGGGGAUUCGCAAGAACCUCAUGCUCAUGGAGUGGCCGAUAUCUGAUUAGCUAGUUGGUGAGGUAAAGGCUCACCAAGGCAACGAUCAGUAGCUGGUUUGAGAGAACGACCAGCCACACUGGAACUGAGACACGGUCCAGACUCCUACGGAGGCAGCAGUGGGGAAUUUUGGGACAAUGGGCGAAAGCCUGAUGCAGCGACGCCGCGUGGAGGAUGAAGGAUUUCGGUCUGUAAACUCCUGUCAGUAGGGAAGAGAAUGGACGGUACCUACUGAGGAAGCUUCGGCUAACUACGUGCCAGCAGCCGCGGUAAU
RNAcentral lists this ribosomal RNA (477 nucleotides) under uncultured bacterium. RNAcentral's name for it is "bacterial SSU rRNA". It matches the Rfam family "Bacterial small subunit ribosomal RNA", at positions 30 to 524 of the family's 1533-position model. The record is from RNAcentral.